GGGACACGUGGUAUCCUGUCUGAAUAUGGGGGGACCAUCCUCCAAGGCUAAAUACUCCUGACUGACCGAUAGUGAACCAGUACCGUGAGGGAAAGGCGAAAAGAACCCCGGCGAGGGGAGUGAAAAAGAACCUGAAACCGUGUACGUACAAGCAGUGGGAGCCUCUUAAUGGGGUGACUGCGUACCUUUUGUAUAAUGGGUCAGCGACUUAUAUUCUGUAGCAAGGUUAACCGAAUAGGGGAGCCGAAGGGAAACCGAGUCUUAACUGGGCGUUAAGUUGCAGGGUAUAGACCCGAAACCCGGUGAUCUAGCCAUGGGCAGGUUGAAGGUUGGGUAACACUAACUGGAGGACCGAACCGACUAAUGUUGAAAAAUUAGCGGAUGACUUGUGGCUGGGGGUGAAAGGCCAAUCAAACCGGGAGAUAGCUGGUUCUCCCCGAAAGCUAUUUAGGUAGCGCCUCGUGAAUUCAUCUCCGGGGGUAGAGCACUGUUUCGGCAAGGGGGUCAUCCCGACUUACCAACCCGAUGCAAACUGCGAAUACCGGAGAAUGUUAUCACGGGAGACACACGGCGGGUGCUAACGUCCGUCGUGAAGAGGGAAACAACCCAGACCGCCAGCUAAGGUCCCAAAGUCAUGGUUAAGUGGGAAACGAUGUGGGAAGGCCCAGACAGCCAGGAUGUUGGCUUAGAAGCAGCCAUCAUUUAAAGAAAGCGUAAUAGCUCACUGGUCGAGUCGGCCUGCGCGGAAGAUGUAACGGGGCUAAACCAUGCACCGAAGCUGCGGCAGCGACACUAUGUGUUGUUGGGUAGGGGAGCGUUCUGUAAGCCUGUGAAGGUGGCCUGUGAGGGUUGCUGGAGGUAUCAGAAGUGCGAAUGCUGACAUAAGUAACGAUAAAGCGGGUGAAAAGCCCGCUCGCCGGAAGACCAAGGGUUCCUGUCCAACGUUAAUCGGGGCAGGGUGAGUCGACCCCUAAGGCGAGGCCGAAAGGCGUAGUCGAUGGGAAACAGGUUAAUAUUCCUGUACUUGGUGUUACUGCGAAGGGGGGACGGAGAAGGCUAUGUUGGCCGGGCGACGGUUGUCCCGGUUUAAGCGUGUAGGCUGGUUUUCCAGGCAAAUCCGGAAAACCAAGGCUGAGGCGUGAUGACGAGGCACUACGGUGCUGAAGCGACAAAUGCCCUGCUUCCAGGAAAAGCCUCUAAGCAUCAGGUAACAUCAAAUCGUACCCCAAACCGACACAGGUGGUCAGGUAGAGAAUACCAAGGCGCUUGAGAGAACUCGGGUGAAGGAACUAGGCAAAAUGGUGCCGUAACUUCGGGAGAAGGCACGCUGAUAUGUAGGUGAAGUCCCUCGCGGAUGGAGCUGAAAUCAGUCGAAGAUACCAGCUGGCUGCAACUGUUUAUUAAAAACACAGCACUGUGCAAACACGAAAGUGGACGUAUACGGUGUGACGCCUGCCCGGUGCCGGAAGGUUAAUUGAUGGGGUUAGCGGCAACGCGAAGCUCUUGAUCGAAGCCCCGGUAAACGGCGGCCGUAACUAUAACGGUCCUAAGGUAGCGAAAUUCCUUGUCGGGUAAGUUCCGACCUGCACGAAUGGCGUAAUGAUGGCCAGGCUGUCUCCACCCGAGACUCAGUGAAAUUGAACUCGCUGUGAAGAUGCAGUGUACCCGCGGCAAGACGGAAAGACCCCGUGAACCUUUACUAUAGCUUGACACUGAACAUUGAGCCUUGAUGUGUAGGAUAGGUGGGAGGCUUUGAAGUGUGGACGCCAGUCUGCAUGGAGCCGACCUUGAAAUACCACCCUUUAAUGUUUGAUGUUCUAACGUUGGCCCGUAAUCCGGGUUGCGGACAGUGUCUGGUGGGUAGUUUGACUGGGGCGGUCUCCUCCUAAAGAGUAACGGAGGAGCACGAAGGUUGGCUAAUCCUGGUCGGACAUCAGGAGGUUAGUGCAAUGGCAUAAGCCAGCUUGACUGCGAGCGUGACGGCGCGAGCAGGUGCGAAAGCAGGUCAUAGUGAUCCGGUGGUUCUGAAUGGAAGGGCCAUCGCUCAACGGAUAAAAGGUACUCCGGGGAUAACAGGCUGAUACCGCCCAAGAGUUCAUAUCGACGGCGGUGUUUGGCACCUCGAUGUCGGCUCAUCACAUCCUGGGGCUGAAGUAGGUCCCAAGGGUAUGGCUGUUCGCCAUUUAAAGUGGUACGCGAGCUGGGUUUAGAACGUCGUGAGACAGUUCGGUCCCUAUCUGCCGUGGGCGCUGGAGAACUGAGGGGGGCUGCUCCUAGUACGAGAGGACCGGAGUGGACGCAUCACUGGUGUUCGGGUUGUCAUGCCAAUGGCACUGCCCGGUAGCUAAAUGCGGAAGAGAUAAGUGCUGAAAGCAUCUAAGCACGAAACUUGCCCCGAGAUGAGUUCUCCCUGACUCCUUGAGAGUCCUGAAGGAACGUUGAAGACGACGACGUUGAUAGGCCGGGUGUGUAAGCGCAGCGAUGCGUUGAGCUAACCGGUACUAAUGAACCGUGAGGCUUAACCUUACAACGCCGAAG
This 2538-nucleotide ribosomal RNA is filed under the name Escherichia coli. Its description in RNAcentral is "partial 23S ribosomal RNA". It matches the Rfam family "Bacterial large subunit ribosomal RNA", at positions 419 to 2925 of the family's 2925-position model. The record is from RNAcentral. Lineage: Bacteria; Pseudomonadati; Pseudomonadota; Gammaproteobacteria; Enterobacterales; Enterobacteriaceae.